AUCACGUUAAAUGCAUUUAUGGUGAAAUUCAUUAUGAGGGGUGGUGGUCAACUUAAAAAGAAGCCAUUCAAAGCUAUACUAUGUAAUUCAAGUGGACUUCUCUGUAAGAACAUCAGACUCUUCAUAGAAGAUGAAGACUUGCCAUGAUCAAGAAUACCAGCUAUUUGCUGAAGUUCAUCUUUCAAAACGAACAGCAUGGAGUACAGUACUCAUCAGAUGCUGUGAACAGGUGUAGCCCAAAUGCAACAGAUUCAGACUUUGAUGCAGCAAUGGCAGAUCACCUGAAGCACACUGGGGUUGAUGGAUACUUGUUUUAUGGCUGUUUUAACAGUAAUACAAGACUGUUAGUAAAUAAUUUGGUAGUGCCAUAGCUCUGACUUUUAACCAUUAAUGGUGGAACACAUGAAUCACACUCCCGGAAGAGCCGGUGGUCGGGGACCAAGAAAAUGAGUAAACAUUUUGAAAAAAAUGGACUAAAGUAGUGUCAUAUGUUUUUGUAAUACUGUACUUUUGUCAUUUUCAUGUUUGAUUAAUGGCUGCUAAACAUCAAUGUUAAACUCCAUUGCUUUCGAGAUUCUACUAUUUUUAUUUUCUUGUUUGAAUAGUAGCUGUCAAACAAAUGGAAGACCAUUCAAAAAUGUGAUGUUCACUAUAAAAUAUGCUGUGCUAAAUUAAAACACUAAAUUUUGCCUAAAUCCACAAAUAAAGUGUUAUUGUUUGUGAUGUGCA
Long non-coding RNA from Triplophysa dalaica, 729 nucleotides. RefSeq lists it as uncharacterized. The transcript is spliced from 4 exons. NCBI's taxonomy places the organism in Eukaryota, Metazoa, Chordata, Actinopteri, Cypriniformes, Nemacheilidae. The record is from RefSeq and is a predicted model, not a curated record.